RNAcentral lists this ribosomal RNA (449 nucleotides) under uncultured bacterium. Its description in RNAcentral is "partial 16S ribosomal RNA". It matches the Rfam family "Bacterial small subunit ribosomal RNA", at positions 29 to 523 of the family's 1533-position model. The record is from RNAcentral.
AACGAACGCUGGCGGCAUGCCUAAUACAUGCAAGUCGAACGAAGGCUUCGGCCUUAGUGGCGCACGGGUGAGUAACGCGUGGGAAACUGCCUAUUGGUGGGGAAUAACGACGGGAAACUGUCGCUAAUACCGCAUAAGCCCUUCGGGGGAAAGAUUUAUCGCCGAUAGAUGUGCCCGCGUCCGAUUAGCUAGUUGGUGAGGUAAUGGCUCACCAAGGCGACGAUCGGUAGCCGGUCUGAGAGGAUGAUCAGCCACACUGGGACUGAGACACGGCCCAGACUCCUACGGGAGGCAGCAGUGGGGAAUAUUGGACAAUGGGCGAAAGCCUGAUACAGCAAUGCCGCGUGAGUGAUGAAGGCCUUAGGGUUGUAAAGCUCUUUCGGGUGGGACGAUGAUGACGGUACCAUCAGAAGAAGCCCCGGCUAACUUCGUGCCAGCCGCCGCGGUAA